Molecule: unclassified non-coding RNA, 331 nt
Filed under: uncultured Corollospora
Lineage: Eukaryota; Fungi; Ascomycota; Sordariomycetes; Microascales; Halosphaeriaceae
Description: sequence contains ITS1
Rfam family: 5.8S ribosomal RNA (bases 1-106)
Source: RNAcentral
GAAAUGCGAUAAGUAAUGCGAAUUGCAGAUUUCAGUGAAUCAUCGAAUUUUUGAACGCACAUUGCGCCCGGCGGCCACUCCGCCGGGCCUGCCUGUUCGAGCGUCGUUUCUCCCCUCGAGUCCCCUGGGACUCGGUGUUGGGGAUCUGCAGGGCCCCCACGGGCGCUGCAGUCCCUUAAAAUUAGUGGCGGGACGUGCUGGAGGCCCCCUGCGUAGUAACCAAUCUCGCAUGGGGCGCCGGCGCGGCCUGGCCGUCAACCGGGCGGUGCCUUAGGGCACCGUCCACAGAACAGUCGACCUCGAAUCAGGUAGGGUUACCCGCUGAACUUAA